CCUCUGACGUCGUCAUAUGAUUGGCCGUCUGUCACCACGAUGAGAAAGUUGCGACCUGGUCCUGUUCGCCUGGUGGAGAAAAAACAAAUCUUUAAUUUAAAACCAUUUUCCUCCUCCAGACACAAUGAAUCUGGCUGAGACAAACCCAUAAACUGCCCUUAGGUGUGAAUGUUCUGGGUGGUGUAAGUGAUGGCUGCUCCAGUGGCCGUUCCUCCGCUCAUGUAGGGGAUCCUCUUCAGAGCUUUGACGGCAUCGUCUUUGUUAGAGUGGUCAAACAGGCCGAACUCCAGCUGCUGAUCAUAGCUGACCGAUGCGAGAGCCCACGUCUGAGACGUCGAAACUUCUGGCGAUUCCAGCCACGAAGUCCAGGACCAGCUGGAAGUUUCCAUCUCCGACGCUGGAUGAGCCGUCGAUGAGGAAGCCGAUGUUCACAGAGUUGUAGCAGGUUUUACCUUU
This is a long non-coding RNA of Micropterus dolomieu (smallmouth bass), 456 nucleotides long. RefSeq lists it as uncharacterized. The transcript has 3 exons. NCBI's taxonomy places the organism in Eukaryota, Metazoa, Chordata, Actinopteri, Centrarchiformes, Centrarchidae. The record is from RefSeq and is a predicted model, not a curated record.